Corvus hawaiiensis (hawaiian crow) is the source of this 296-nucleotide long non-coding RNA. RefSeq lists it as uncharacterized. NCBI's taxonomy places the organism in Eukaryota, Metazoa, Chordata, Aves, Passeriformes, Corvidae. The transcript has 3 exons. The record is from RefSeq and is a predicted model, not a curated record.
GUAAAGCCAGAUCUCAGCAGUCAAGGUCAAGUGAGUGAGGCAUACCCCGCAACGAUGGCGUCGGCCUCGGAGCGUGGGCGAAGCGUGCCGCCGGAGGACCCCGGCCUUCUUAGGAGACGGAGACGACAGCCCGGUGACGACAGGAGCUUCCCAGAGGGUGAGCCGGCCUUCUGUUGUGCCUGAGGAGGAUUCCCAUCUCCAGAUGUCUGAGAGAUAAGUUGAGGGCUACAAUCCACUGAGGGAAUGAAUGUGAGGUGUUGGGGCAGGGCUUGCCGGGAGGGAUUUUUGAGUCAGCU